This 111-nucleotide ribosomal RNA is filed under the name Acanthosepion pharaonis. The record is from RNAcentral. Lineage: Eukaryota; Metazoa; Mollusca; Cephalopoda; Sepiida; Sepiidae.
CGGACACAUCACGUUGAAACAAUUGUUCUCGUACGAUCACCGACGUUAAACAACGUCGAGCCUGGUCACUACCUAAAUGGGUGACCGCUUGGGAAUAUCAGGUGCUGUAUG